Molecule: non-coding RNA, 234 nt
Filed under: Sporanaerobacter acetigenes
Lineage: Bacteria; Bacillati; Bacillota; Tissierellia; Tissierellales; Sporanaerobacteraceae
Description: T-box sequence
Rfam family: T-box leader
About the family: Uncharged tRNA acts as the effector for transcription antitermination of genes in the T-box leader family.
Source: RNAcentral
UUAAAAACAGUGAAGGGAAGAGUAGGUAUAGUUGAAGUUAUAGCGAUUCGGUGAUGGUGGAAGGCCGAUACCUAAACCAUAUUGAAGAACAUCCUGGAGUUUCUAACCGAAAUUUUUAAAGUAGGCUUAGACGGAUUCACACCGUUAUAUGUGAUAGGUAUAUAGAAAAGUACCAAAAUGAAGUGGCUAUUUACAUAGCAAUUAGGGUGGCACCGCGAACCUUUCGUCCCUUUA